GACGAACGCUGGCGGCGUGCUUAACACAUGCAAGUCGAGCGGUAAGGCCCUUUCGGGGGUACACGAGCGGCGAACGGGUGAGUAACACGUGGGUGACCUGCCCUCAGCUCUGGGAUAAGCCUGGGAAACUGGGUCUAAUACCGGAUAUGACUCCAUGACGCAUGUUGUGGGGUGGAAAGCCUUGUGCGGCUGAGGAUGGGCCCGCGGCCUAUCAGCUUGUUGGUGGGGUGANGGCCUACCAAGGCGACGACGGGUAGCCGGCCUGAGAGGGCGACCGGCCACACUGGGACUGAGACACGGCCCAGACUCCUACGGGAGGCAGCAGUGGGGAAUAUUGGACAAUGGGCGAAAGCCUGAUCCAGCCAUGCCGCGUGAGUGAUGAAGGCCCUAGGGU
RNAcentral lists this ribosomal RNA (394 nucleotides) under uncultured bacterium. RNAcentral's name for it is "bacterial SSU rRNA". It matches the Rfam family "Bacterial small subunit ribosomal RNA", at positions 28 to 423 of the family's 1533-position model. The record is from RNAcentral.